GACGAACGCUGGCGGCGUGCUUAACACAUGCAAGUCGAACGGAAAGGCCCUGCUUUUGUGGGGUGCUCGAGUGGCGAACGGGUGAGUAACACGUGAGUAACCUGCCCUUGACUUUGGGAUAACUUCAGGAAACUGGGGCUAAUACCGGAUAGGAGCUCCUGCUGCAUGGUGGGGGUUGGAAAGUUUCGGCGGUUGGGGAUGGACUCGCGGCUUAUCAGCUUGUUGGUGGGGUAGUGGCUUACCAAGGCUUUGACGGGUAGCCGGCCUGAGAGGGUGACCGGCCCAAUGGGACCUGGGAAACGGCCCAGACCCCUCCGGGGGGGAGGGGGGGGGAAUUUUGCAAAAGGGGGGGAAGCCUGAUGCAGCACCCCCGGGUGGGGGAAGAGGGCCUUCGGGUUGUAAACCGCUUUCCCCUGUGCCGAAGCGGGGGUGGCGGUAAUGGGUAAAAAAGCACCGGCUAACAAGGG
RNAcentral lists this ribosomal RNA (467 nucleotides) under uncultured bacterium. Its description in RNAcentral is "partial 16S ribosomal RNA". It matches the Rfam family "Bacterial small subunit ribosomal RNA", at positions 28 to 506 of the family's 1533-position model. The record is from RNAcentral.